This 1397-nucleotide long non-coding RNA is filed under the name Hordeum vulgare. RNAcentral describes it as "long non-coding RNA (HVUL_LNC007330)". The record is from RNAcentral. Lineage: Eukaryota; Viridiplantae; Streptophyta; Magnoliopsida; Poales; Poaceae.
UUAUAGAUGUUUAAAACAUGGACUUGCUCCCACAUGUGUUUGACACAAUAUAAGUAGUAUCUGUCAUACCUGAUGCGGUAUAAUACAAAUAAAUAUAUAGGUAAUAUAUUCACUUUAUAGAAAAUAAAUAGAUGUUAUAUACUACUACCGAAUGAUUUUAUCCAAAUGUUGUUGGUUCGUGCAUAACUAAAUGUCAUGUUUUCUUACGCCACCCAUCUUAUUUGAGUUAUUAGAUUUAUAUUAUUGGAUUUUGGAGAAAAUUUGAUGCAUCAAAAUGCUUAGCUUACUCCCAGUCUCUCCUCAUAUCGAGGUUGAAGUAUUAGGUAAUACUAUUGUUUAGCACAUAACUUAUUACAUUAUGAAUUUUGGUGUGGCUUUCGAUUUUAUUUUUGUGGACAUUAUUUUUACACAUGCAGUCAUACCACCUUUCCGUUAUCUACCUCUGAUUAUACCUACUAGCGGUCAUAUCCUUCACAUGGUACAAAUCCUGAUACACUUUAUAGUAUUUUUGUUAUAAUUACUUUCAUGUAAAUCCAAACUAUUGUAGUUACUGAAAUUAAUUGGACAUUUAUUUAAGCCAUUUAACAAAGUGGAGCUCCAUUUGCUAGGGUUCGCAGGUCAUGAGAUGAGGUAAACUAACUUGUAAUAAGGCGUCUAGAGGUUAGUCACGCUGAGCUCCUAUCGCACCGCAGUCGUAUUCUUGGUUUAUGUCGACGGCAAACAAAUACUAUAAUGAGUUAUUACUAAAGUAUUAUGCUUACUUUUUUUCCUUUGAUAUGUUGGUUUUUCUUUUGAUAGCUUACCACAUACUUAUAGUAUAAACAAACAGGAAUUUGGCUUUGUAAAUUAUUUUGCGCCUUUGCAUAUGAUCUGGCCAGAUUUGUACGUAAUGCUGAGGCUUGAAGCAUCACAAAAGCUUGUACAGAAUCAUGUGUAGUGGUUGGGUUCGAAUAUAUAGAUUGAGAUUUUUUUUCUUGCCGAAAGGAUUGCCCUUCUUCACAUAGCUGCAGCACGUCCACAACACAUGUUUUGUCGCAUGCACGUAUCAUACGCUGUUAGCCUUUGGAUUAGAUGUUCACAUUCUAGUACUCCCUCCGUUCCUAAAUGUUGUCUUUUUAGGUAUUCACGUUCUAGUACUCCCUCUGUUUAUAUUUCUUGAUGUCAUUUCUAGUAUGCAAUCAUAUGACAUGUUUCAUGUAAAUUAAUAUGGGUUGCUAACAAUUUUUUAAUCUGCAAUUGAUCUAGUGUUUUUUACAUGGUAGCUUAAUAUCCUCCUUCCUUUUCUAAUAUGCAAACUUCUAAUAUGUGAGGUGCAGAAGUGCAUGAGGUGCGGUUCACCUUAGGCUCCUCCCACUCAUCGACGGUCUGGUCCAGCAUCACUUAACCGUUGUGACCUG